This 465-nucleotide ribosomal RNA is filed under the name Vreelandella stevensii. RNAcentral describes it as "partial 16S ribosomal RNA". It matches the Rfam family "Bacterial small subunit ribosomal RNA", at positions 338 to 795 of the family's 1533-position model. The record is from RNAcentral. Lineage: Bacteria; Pseudomonadati; Pseudomonadota; Gammaproteobacteria; Oceanospirillales; Halomonadaceae.
CCUACGGUGGGCAGCAGUGGGGAAUAUUGGACAAUGGGCGAAAGCCUGAUCCAGCCAUGCCGCGUGUGUGAAGAAGGCCUUCGGGUUGUAAAGCACUUUCAGUGGGGAAGAAAGCCUUGGGGCUAAUACCCUCGAGGAAGGACAUCACCCACAGAAGAAGCACCGGCUAACUCCGUGCCAGCAGCCGCGGUAAUACGGAGGGUGCGAGCGUUAAUCGGAAUUACUGGGCGUAAAGCGCGCGUAGGCGGUCUGAUAAGCCGGUUGUGAAAGCCCCGGGCUCAACCUGGGAACGGCAUCCGGAACUGUCAGGCUAGAGUGCAGGAGAGGAACGUAGAAUUCCCGGUGUAGCGGUGAAAUGCGUAGAGAUCGGGAGGAAUACCAGUGGCGAAGGCGGCCUUCUGGACUGACACUGACGCUGAGGUGCGAAAGCGUGGGUAGCAAACAGGAUUAGAUACCCUGGUAGUC